This 480-nucleotide ribosomal RNA is filed under the name uncultured bacterium. RNAcentral's name for it is "partial 16S ribosomal RNA". It matches the Rfam family "Bacterial small subunit ribosomal RNA", at positions 28 to 507 of the family's 1533-position model. The record is from RNAcentral.
GACGAACGCUGGCGGCGUGCUUAACACAUGCAAGUCGAACGAUGAAGAAAAGAAUCGAAGCUUCGGCAGAAAUUCAUUUCGGAUUAGUGGCAGACGGGUGAGUAACGCGUGAGCAACCUACCUCUUACAAAGGGAUAGCCUCGGGAAACCGGGAUUAAUACCAUAUAACAUUGCGACGAAGCAUUUCGAUGCAAUCAAAGCUACGGCGGUAAGAGAUGGGCUCGCGUCCCAUUAACCGGAUGGUGAGGUAACGGCUCACCAUAGUGACGAUGGGUAACCGGGCUGAGAGGGUGAACGGUCACACUGGAACUGAGACACGGUCCAGACUCCUACGGGAGGCAGCAGUGGGGAAUAUUGCACAAUGGAGGGAACUCUGAUGCAGCGACGCCGCGUGAGUGAUGAAGGAAUUCGUUUCGUAAAACUCUGUUCUAUGGGAAGAAAAGGACUGUACCAUAGGAGAAAGCCCCGGCUAAAUACGUG